Molecule: transfer RNA, 75 nt
Filed under: Flavobacteriales bacterium
Lineage: Bacteria; Pseudomonadati; Bacteroidota; Flavobacteriia; Flavobacteriales
Description: tRNA-Val
Rfam family: tRNA
About the family: Transfer RNA (tRNA) molecules are approximately 80 nucleotides in length. Their secondary structure includes four short double-helical elements and three loops (D, anti-codon, and T loops).
Source: RNAcentral
GGGACAUUAGCUCAGUUGGUUCAGAGCGCAUGCUUCACACGCAUGAGGUCACUGGUUCGAAUCCAGUAUGUCCCA